Molecule: ribosomal RNA, 460 nt
Filed under: uncultured bacterium
Lineage: Bacteria
Description: partial 16S ribosomal RNA
Rfam family: Bacterial small subunit ribosomal RNA
Source: RNAcentral
CCUACGGGUGGCAGCAGUGAGGAAUAUUUGUCAUUGGGCGCCAGCCUGCCCCCUCCCCGUCGCGUUCGUGAUGACGGUCCUAUGGAUUGUAAACCUCUUUUGUCGGGGAGCAAGGCCCGCCACGUGUGGCGGGAAGGAGAGUACCCGAAGAAAAAGCAUCGGCUAACUCCGUGCCAGCAGCCGCGGUAAUACGGAGGAUGCGAGCGUUAUCCGGAUUUAUUGGGUUUAAAGGGUGCGUAGGCGGAAGGUUAAGUCAGCGGUAAAAUGUCGGUGCUCAACACCGGCCUGCCGUUGAAACUGGUCUUCUUGAGUGAGCGAGAAGUAUGCGGAAUGCGUGGUGUAGCGGUGAAAUGCAUAGAUAUCACGCAGAACUCCGAUUGCGAAGGCAGCAUACCGGCGCUCAACUGACGCUGAGGCACGAAAGCGUGGGGAUCGAACAGGAUUAGAUACCCUUGUAGUC